This is a long non-coding RNA of Hibiscus syriacus, 660 nucleotides long. RefSeq lists it as uncharacterized. The transcript is spliced from 3 exons. NCBI's taxonomy places the organism in Eukaryota, Viridiplantae, Streptophyta, Magnoliopsida, Malvales, Malvaceae. The record is from RefSeq and is a predicted model, not a curated record.
CUCCUCUGCGCCGUUUUAACCCAUCUCUCUUCCUCUCCCCAGCCUUCUUCAUGGCCGAGAAGACUCGAGGCCUUCAACCUUUAAUCCCGACCAUCAUACAUAGCAGUAUAGUGACCCAAACCGACACCCAAACUCACCACAACCCUCGCCUUGCCAUACUAACCUCCGAUCUAAGGUCCAAGACACACAAACAGGACUGUAAAAGCCUCACAAAAAAGAUUCCUUGGUCUUUCGGCUUCACUCUCUCGACAACCUCCAUUCUCUAUACCGACGAAAUCAAUGGCAGCAUCUCCAGUGAGUAAGGAACCUAAACCCGACUAUUUAUUCCAUACUUCAACAAAAACACCACUCUCCGGUGGUAACGACACACAUACCCGAAGAUGAUUUCAAUGGUGGCAGCUCAUAAUAGGUUGGCGACGACAGCUGGCUUCGGCUGAGGUCUCGGCUCGGUCAUGGCAUCGACUGGAAACUGGAAGGACUGUUGGCGGCUUGGUGUUAAUUUAGAGUUCAAAUUCGGGCCUGGUUAGUCUUCGGGUAUUCAAGUUGAUUUUCUAGGCUCCGGGAUUUGUUGUAAUAUGAGUUUGUAAAUUGGGCCUGCAAAUGUAAAAUAAAAUAAUAAUAAUAAUAAUAAUAAUAAAAUAUUAAAAGACGAGACGAAAA